RNAcentral lists this ribosomal RNA (496 nucleotides) under uncultured bacterium. Its description in RNAcentral is "partial 16S ribosomal RNA". It matches the Rfam family "Bacterial small subunit ribosomal RNA", at positions 28 to 506 of the family's 1533-position model. The record is from RNAcentral.
GAUGAACGCUGGCGGCGUGCCUAAUACAUGCCAGUCGAGCGAACAGACGAGGAGCUUGCUCCUCUGACGUUAGCGGCGGACGGGUGAGUAACACGUGGAUAACCUACCUAUAAGACUGGGAUAACUUCGGGAAACCGGAGCUAAUACCGGAUAAUAUAUUGAACCGCAUGGUUCAAUAGUGAAAGACGGUUUUGCUGUCACUUAUAGAUGGAUCCGCGCCGCAUUAGCUAGUUGGUAAGGUAACGGCUUACCAAGGCGACGAUGCGUAGCCGACCUGAGAGGGUGAUCGGCCACACUGGAACUGAGACACGGUCCAGACUCCUACGGGAGGCAGCAGUAGGGAAUCUUCCGCAAUGGGCGAAAGCCUGACGGAGCAACGCCGCGUGAGUGAUGAAGGUCUUCGGAUCGUAAAACGCUGUUAUUAGGGAAGAACAAAUGUGUAAGUAACUAUGCACGUCUUGACGGUACCUAAUCAGAAAGCCACGGCUAACUACGU